This 1319-nucleotide long non-coding RNA is filed under the name Citrus sinensis (sweet orange). Its description in RNAcentral is "long non-coding RNA (CSIN_LNC004847)". Lineage: Eukaryota; Viridiplantae; Streptophyta; Magnoliopsida; Sapindales; Rutaceae. The record is from RNAcentral.
UAAAGGCUCCUCAACUGAUUUAGAUGACCAAUUUCUUGUGGUAUUACCCCAGUUAAUUGAUUACUACCUAGAUCAAGAUACUGAAGCUCGGAGAGGUUACCGACUUGAGGGGGGAUGGUACCAAAGACUAUAUUAAAGCUAAGGUUAAGACGCACAAGAUGAGGAAAGGACGAGAAUGCAAAUUCUUGAAGCGUACCAUUUAAACCCAUAGAGCUGAGGUUAAUGCUGAUGACUCUUUCAGCUUGGUUGCAAGAAAUUCCAACCCAAGCACAAGGGCUAAGUUUGGCUUUUGAGUAGGAAGGAACAUUGGUUGCAUUAGCAGGAUAAAGUGUCCAUGACGUCAACAAAGAGCUGUUUUGGUUUUGAAGGCUUCUUUUCCAUUUGAGAAGAGCUAAUGCUUCUUUAGUAGAAUCAGAAGAUUGUAAAGAUAUAAAAGUCUUAGAUUGCUAAGAUUACCAAUUGAAGAAGGAAUCACACCAUUGAGUUGAUUUAUGUGCAAGCCUAGUGCCGAAAGAGACUUCAAGUUUCCUAGAAUGGGAGGGAUGAAACUAGAAAGUGAAUUACUAAAAAGAGACAUCACAGUCAAGCUGCUUAAAUUACCUAAAGAAAUAGGGAUUGAACCACUAAGCUGAUUUUCGCUCAAGUCUAGUUGGAGAAGAGACUCCAAAUUUCCUAUAACCGAAGGAAUAGGACCAGAAAGUGAAUUCGAAUAAAGAUACAAUAUACCCAAGUUGCUUAAGUUGCCUAAAGAAAAUGGGAUUGAGCCACUGAGCUGAUUUUUGCUCAAGUCCAAAGUGGAAAUAGAUUUUAAAUUUCCCAAAACUAAAGGAAUGGAGUCAAAAAGUAAAUUGUUAUUAAGAUAAAAAUUAGCCAAGUUGCUUAAGUUACCCAAAGAAGGAGGAAUAGGACCAUAUAAAUUGUUAUGACACAAGGCAAGCUCAUUAAUAAGACUUAACUGACCUAUUUCUUGUGGAAUUGGGCCAUGCAACUGAUUCACAUCAAAGUAAAGACUCCUCAACUGAUUUAGAUGACCAAUUUCUGGUGGUAUUACCCCAGUUAAUUGAUUAUUGCCUAGAUCAAGAUGCUGAAGCUUGGAGAGGUUACCGACUUGAGGGGGGAUGGUACCAAAGACUAUAUUAAAGCUAAGGUUAAGACGCACAAGAUGAGGAAAGGACGAGAAUGCAAAUUCUUGAAGCGUACCAUUUAAACCCAUAGAGCUGAGGUUAAUGCUGAUGACUCUUUCAGCUUGGUUGCAAGAAAUUCCAACCCAAGCACAAGGGCUAAGUUUGGCUUUUGAGUAGGAAGGAACAUUGGUUGCA